AUUGAACGCUGGCGGCAGGCCUAACACAUGCAAGUCGAGCGAGCGGCGGACGGGUGAGUAAUGUCUGGGAAACUGCCUGAUGGAGAGGGAUAACUACUGGAAACGGUAGCUAAUACCGCAUACCAUGCGAUGUGCGCAGGUGGGAUUGGCUAGUAGUUGGGGUAACGGCUCACCUAGGCGACGAUCCCUAGCUGGUCUGAGAGGAUGACCAGCCACACUGGAACUGAGACACGGCCCAGACUCCUACGGGAGGCAGCAGUGGGGAAUAUUGCGCAAGGGGCGAAAGCCUGAUGCAGCCAGGCCGCGUGAGGGAAGAAGGCCUUCGGGUGGUAAAGCACUUUCAGCAGGGAGGCGUUACCCAACGAAAAAGCACCGGCUAACUCCGUGCCAGCAGCCGCGGUAAUAC
RNAcentral lists this ribosomal RNA (406 nucleotides) under uncultured bacterium. RNAcentral's name for it is "partial 16S ribosomal RNA". It matches the Rfam family "Bacterial small subunit ribosomal RNA", at positions 29 to 526 of the family's 1533-position model. The record is from RNAcentral.